RNAcentral lists this ribosomal RNA (498 nucleotides) under uncultured bacterium. Its description in RNAcentral is "partial 16S ribosomal RNA". It matches the Rfam family "Bacterial small subunit ribosomal RNA", at positions 30 to 523 of the family's 1533-position model. The record is from RNAcentral.
AUUGAACGCUGGCGGCAUGCCUUACACAUGCAAGUCGAACGGUAACAGGUCUUCGGAUGCUGACGAGUGGCGAACGGGUGAGUAAUACAUCGGAACGUGCCUAGUAGUGGGGGAUAACUACUCGAAAGAGUGGCUAAUACCGCGUGAGAUCUACGGAUGAAAGCAGGGGAUCGCAAGACCUUGUGCUACUCGAGCGGCCGAUGGCAGAUUAGGUAGUUGGUGGGAUAAAAGCUUACCAAGCCGACGAUCUGUAGCCAGUCUGAGAGGACGAUCAGCCACACUGCGACUGAGAAACGGCACAGACUCCUACGGGGGGCAGCAUUGGUGAAUUUUGGACAAUGGGCGCAAGCCUGAUCCAGCAAUGCCGCGUGCAGGAUGAAGGCCUUCGGGUUGUAAACUGCUUUUGUACGGAACGAAAAGCCCCGGGUUAAUACCCUGGGGUCAUGACGGUACCGUAAGAAUAAGCACCGGCUAACUACGUGCCAGCAGCCGCAGUAA